RNAcentral lists this ribosomal RNA (1060 nucleotides) under Microbacterium flavum. Its description in RNAcentral is "bacterial SSU rRNA". It matches the Rfam family "Bacterial small subunit ribosomal RNA", at positions 374 to 1444 of the family's 1533-position model. The record is from RNAcentral. Lineage: Bacteria; Bacillati; Actinomycetota; Actinomycetes; Micrococcales; Microbacteriaceae.
GGCGCAAGCCUGAUGCAGCAACGCCGCGUGAGGGACGACGGCCUUCGGGUUGUAAACCUCUUUUAGCAGGGAAGAAGCGAAAGUGACGGUACCUGCAGAAAAAGCGCCGGCUAACUACGUGCCAGCAGCCGCGGUAAUACGUAGGGCGCAAGCGUUAUCCGGAAUUAUUGGGCGUAAAGAGCUCGUAGGCGGUUUGUCGCGUCUGCUGUGAAAUCCCGAGGCUCAACCUCGGGUCUGCAGUGGGUACGGGCAGACUAGAGUGCGGUAGGGGAGAUUGGAAUUCCUGGUGUAGCGGUGGAAUGCGCAGAUAUCAGGAGGAACACCGAUGGCGAAGGCAGAUCUCUGGGCCGUAACUGACGCUGAGGAGCGAAAGGGUGGGGAGCAAACAGGCUUAGAUACCCUGGUAGUCCACCCCGUAAACGUUGGGAACUAGUUGUGGGGUCCAUUCCACGGAUUCCGUGACGCAGCUAACGCAUUAAGUUCCCCGCCUGGGGAGUACGGCCGCAAGGCUAAAACUCAAAGGAAUUGACGGGGACCCGCACAAGCGGCGGAGCAUGCGGAUUAAUUCGAUGCAACGCGAAGAACCUUACCAAGGCUUGACAUAUACGAGAACGGGCCAGAAAUGGUCAACUCUUUGGACACUCGUAAACAGGUGGUGCAUGGUUGUCGUCAGCUCGUGUCGUGAGAUGUUGGGUUAAGUCCCGCAACGAGCGCAACCCUCGUUCUAUGUUGCCAGCACGUAAUGGUGGGAACUCAUGGGAUACUGCCGGGGUCAACUCGGAGGAAGGUGGGGAUGACGUCAAAUCAUCAUGCCCCUUAUGUCUUGGGCUUCACGCAUGCUACAAUGGCCGGUACAAAGGGCUGCAAUACCGUAAGGUGGAGCGAAUCCCAAAAAGCCGGUCCCAGUUCGGAUUGAGGUCUGCAACUCGACCUCAUGAAGUCGGAGUCGCUAGUAAUCGCAGAUCAGCAACGCUGCGGUGAAUACGUUCCCGGGUCUUGUACACACCGCCCGUCAAGUCAUGAAAGUCGGUAACACCUGAAGCCGGUGGCCCAACCCUUG